ACACGACUACAUUAGAUACCCGUGUAGUCCCAGCCGUAAACUAUGCUCGCUAGGUGUCAGGGACGGUGCGACCGUUUCUGGUGCCGCAGGGAAGCCGUGAAGCGAGCCACCUGGGAAGUACGUCCGCAAGGAUGAAACUUAAAGGAAUUGGCGGGGGAGCACCGCAACGGGAGGAGCGUGCGGUUCAAUUGGAUUCAACGCCGGACAACUCACCAGGAGCGACGGUUACAUGAAGGCCAGGCUGAUGACCUUGCCUGAUUUUCCG
Molecule: ribosomal RNA, 265 nt
Filed under: uncultured archaeon
Lineage: Archaea
Description: partial 16S ribosomal RNA
Rfam family: Archaeal small subunit ribosomal RNA
Source: RNAcentral